GCAGCUGGCACACAGUUUACCAGUAUGGGCUACAAGAUAGUAGUACUGAUUUUGACGAUCUGCUUUGCAGGUGUUGAUGGUCAAACCCUGACUGAAUCUGAACCAGCAGUUAAAAGGCCUGGACAAUCCCACAGACUGACCUGUACGACCUCUGGAUUCACAUUCAGCAGCUACGCUAUGGACUGGGUCAGACAGGCUCCAGGAAAAGGACUGGAGUGGAUUGCUUUUAUAAGCACUUCAACUUAUAGUUAUGUUACGUCUUAUUCCCAGUCAGUCCAGGGUAGAUUCACCAUCUCCAGAGAUGACUCCAGCAGUAAACUCUAUCUACAGAUGAACAAUCUGAAGACUGAGGACACAGCAGUUUAUUACUGUGCCCGACACAACACACUAUAA
Pundamilia nyererei is the source of this 393-nucleotide non-coding RNA. The record is from the annotation of a RefSeq genome assembly. NCBI's taxonomy places the organism in Eukaryota, Metazoa, Chordata, Actinopteri, Cichliformes, Cichlidae.